GGGGCCUGAGGAGAAGGUGAAGGGGGUGUUGAGGGCGUGCCCGGAACCUCCGCGUCUGAAACCUCUCUGCUCCUGAAGGUCUCCUCGCCUCAUUCACUCUUGACAGCCCUGACCCUGGAAUCUGCCCCCCACCUCCAAUUCCAUCCUUGGUGGGGGUGCAGUGGCGAGCUCACUCAGCAUUUCCUGGUCCCUGGCCUCCCCCUCUCCACCCCCAGUGGCUCAGCGGGAUGUCUCCAGGCACCCCCGACCUGGGCUUGGCCCUCUGCUUGGGGCGGAGCUUCCAGGACGUGCUGGGACCUAGGUCUGACCCCGCCCAAGGCAGAGUUGAACCCACUGUGAACUUUCAGGCAUCAGGACCCAAAAAAGGACACAAGGACACCCACAAUUAUCCCAUCAUCCUGCCUCUCUGCUCCCGCCAACCACCGGACACAAGAGGGAAAUCAUCAGCUGGGUGGAUAGAAAAUCAACUCCCUCAGACUUGGAUGGGGGCAGAGAUGGGACCUGAGAAAGCAACAUUUUCCAGAAAUGGCCUUUUAGGAGCAGGGCCAGAGGGGGUGCAGGUCUUUCCUCCACCACAGAGAACCGGGCUGGAGAAAGAAGAAAGGACCCGAAAAAGAGAUGGUGUUCCUAGUGGUUCUGACCUCAGACUCUGGAGCUAGACUGCCUGAGUUCAGGCCGAGAAAAUGGGGGUCGUGACCAACUCAGUUUACCACUCGAGGCUAUACGAGCAAACAGAAAACUGUUCUCAUGAAAGCAGGAUGUUGGAAAACUGACAACUGCAUCUGCCACCAAAGGUGCUGAGGGCAGUCACGCCUCAAGUACAGUGUUCCUUGUGAUUAUCCAAAAGAACAUCUGAAGACUGUUGUACAAAGAAAACAAUUAUAUGUACCUGUGAUUAAUCAAGCAGCUGAUCAACCGUUACCUCUCCCUCCCUGCUCUUUCUACCUAAUAUAAAUGAAGGGCUGUAGAAGCUCAAGGCUGCCUUUGC
Molecule: long non-coding RNA, 988 nt
Organism: Gorilla gorilla gorilla (western lowland gorilla)
Lineage: Eukaryota; Metazoa; Chordata; Mammalia; Primates; Hominidae
Exons: 5
Source: RefSeq, a predicted model, not a curated record